RNAcentral lists this ribosomal RNA (850 nucleotides) under uncultured bacterium. Its description in RNAcentral is "SSU rRNA". It matches the Rfam family "Bacterial small subunit ribosomal RNA", at positions 524 to 1381 of the family's 1533-position model. The record is from RNAcentral.
UACGUAGGAGGCAAACGUUAUUCGGAUUUACUGGGCGUAAAGGGAGCGUAGGCGGUUCCUUAAGUCGGAUGUGAAAUCUUCUGGCUCAACCAGAAGGCGCCAUUUGAUACUGAGGGACUUGAGAGCAGCAGAGGGAAAUGGAAUCUCCAGUGUAGCGGUGAAAUGCGUAGAUAUUGGAGAGAACACCAGUGGCAAAGGCGGUUUCCCAGGCUGCUUCUGACGCUGAGGCUCGAAAGCGUGGGGAGCGAAGCGGAUUAGAUACCCGCGUAGUCCACGCCCUAAACGGUGGACACUAGAUAUAGGAGGUAUCGACCCUUUCUGUGUCGAAGCUAACGCUUUAAGUGUCCCGCCUGGGGAGUACGGCCGCAAGGCUGAAACUCAAAGGAAUUGACGGGGGUCCGCACAAGCAGCGGAGCGUGUGGUUUAAUUCGAUGCUACACGAAGAACCUUACCAGGACUUGACAUGACAGAAGUAGGAAGCCGAAAGGCGGACGACCUGUAUCCAGUCAGGAGCUGCCACAGGUGCUGCAUGGCUGUCGUCAGCUCGUGCCGUGAGGUGUUGGGUUAAGUCCCGCAACGAGCGCAACCCUUGUCCCAUGUUAAAUUCUCAUGGGAGACUGCCUUGUACAGCAAGGAGGAAGGAAAGGAUGACGUCAAGUCAGCACGGCCUUUAUGUCCUGGGCUACACACACGCUACAAUGGACGAUACAGAGGGUUGCCAAGGAGCGAUCCGGAGCUAAUCCUGUAAAAUCGUCCUCAGUUCGGAUUGCAGGCUGUAAUCGCCUGCAUGAAGUCGGAGUUGCUAGUAACCGCAGGUCAGCUAUACUGCGGAGAAUACGUUCUCGGACCU